CGGGCGGCGUGCCUAUACAUGCAGUCGAGCGGACUUGCUGGAGCUUGCUCCAGCAGGUUAGCGGCGGACGGGUGAGUAACACGUGGGCAACCUGCCUGUAAGACUGGGAUAACUCCGGGAAACCGGAGCUAAUACCGGAUAGUAUCUUGAACCGCAUGGUUCAAGUUGGAAAGACGGUUUCGGCUGUCACUUACAGAUGGGCCCGCGGCGCAUUAGCUAGUUGGUGAGGUAAUGGCUCACCAAGGCAACGAUGCGUAGCCGACCUGAGAGGGUGAUCGGCCACACUGGGACUGAGACACGGCCCAGACUCCUACGGGAGGCAGCAGUAGGGAAUCUUCCGCAAUGGACGAAAGUCUGACGGAGCAACGCCGCGUGAGUGAUGAAGGUUUUCGGAUCGUAAAACUCUGUUGUUAGGGAAGAACAAGUGCGAGAGUAACUGCUCGCACCUUGACGGUACCUAACCAGAAAGCCACGGCUAACUACGUGCCAGCAGCCGCGGUAAUACGUAGGUGGCAAGCGUUGUCCGGAAUUAUUGGGCGUAAAGCGCGCGCAGGCGGUUUCUUAAGUCUGAUGUGAAAGCCCCCGGCUCAACCGGGGAGGGUCAUUGGAAACUGGGAAACUUGAGUGCAGAAGAGGAGAGUGGAAUUCCACGUGUAGCGGUGAAAUGCGUAGAGAUGUGGAGGAACACCAGUGGCGAAGGCGACUCUCUGGUCUGUAACUGACGCUGAGGCGCGAAAGCGUGGGGAGCGAACAGGAUUAGAUACCCUGGUAGUCCACGCCGUAAACGAUGAGUGCUAAGUGUUAGAGGGUUUCCGCCCUUUAGUGCUGCAGCUAACGCAUUAAGCACUCCGCCUGGGGGAGUACGGUCGCAAGACUGAAACUCAAAGGAAUUGACGGGGGGCCCGCACAAGCGGUGGAGCAUGUGGUUUA
Molecule: ribosomal RNA, 930 nt
Filed under: Metabacillus idriensis
Lineage: Bacteria; Bacillati; Bacillota; Bacilli; Caryophanales; Bacillaceae
Description: bacterial SSU rRNA
Rfam family: Bacterial small subunit ribosomal RNA
Source: RNAcentral